RNAcentral lists this ribosomal RNA (164 nucleotides) under Teucrium webbianum. Its description in RNAcentral is "5.8S ribosomal RNA". It matches the Rfam family "5.8S ribosomal RNA". Rfam says of the family: 5.8S ribosomal RNA (5.8S rRNA) is a component of the large subunit of the eukaryotic ribosome. It is transcribed by RNA polymerase I as part of the 45S precursor that also contains 18S and 28S rRNA. Lineage: Eukaryota; Viridiplantae; Streptophyta; Magnoliopsida; Lamiales; Lamiaceae. The record is from RNAcentral.
AAAACGACUCUCGGCAACGGAUAUCUCGGCUCUCGNAUCGAUGAAGAACGUAGCGAAAUGCGAUACUUGGUGUGAAUUGCAGAAUCCCGUGAACCAUCGAGUCUUUGAACGCAAGUUGCGCCCGAAGCCAUCAGGCCGAGGGCACGUCUGCCUGGGCGUCACGC